RNAcentral lists this ribosomal RNA (217 nucleotides) under uncultured bacterium. RNAcentral describes it as "partial 16S ribosomal RNA". It matches the Rfam family "Bacterial small subunit ribosomal RNA", at positions 1285 to 1500 of the family's 1533-position model. The record is from RNAcentral.
GUCUCAGUUCAGAUUGCAGGCUGCAACUCGCCUGCAUGAAGUCGGAAUUGCUAGUAAUCGCAGAUCAGCAUGCUGCGGUGAAUACGUUCCCGGGCCUUGUACACACCGCCCGUCACACCAUGGGAGUCGGUAACACCCGAAGUCGGUAGCCUAACCGUAAGGAGGGCGCCGCCGAAGGUGGGAUUGAUGACUGGGGUGGAAGUCGUAACAAGGUACC